RNAcentral lists this ribosomal RNA (634 nucleotides) under Enterococcus faecalis. RNAcentral's name for it is "bacterial SSU rRNA". It matches the Rfam family "Bacterial small subunit ribosomal RNA", at positions 69 to 682 of the family's 1533-position model. Lineage: Bacteria; Bacillati; Bacillota; Bacilli; Lactobacillales; Enterococcaceae. The record is from RNAcentral.
CCCGAGUGCUUGCACUCAAUUGGAAAGAGGAGUGGCGGACGGGUGAGUAACACGUGGGUAACCUACCCAUCAGAGGGGGAUAACACUUGGAAACAGGUGCUAAUACCGCAUAACAGUUUAUGCCGCAUGGCAUAAGAGUGAAAGGCGCUUUCGGGUGUCGCUGAUGGAUGGACCCGCGGUGCAUUAGCUAGUUGGUGAGGUAACGGCUCACCAAGGCCACGAUGCAUAGCCGACCUGAGAGGGUGAUCGGCCACACUGGGACUGAGACACGGCCCAGACUCCUACGGGAGGCAGCAGUAGGGAAUCUUCGGCAAUGGACGAAAGUCUGACCGAGCAACGCCGCGUGAGUGAAGAAGGUUUUCGGAUCGUAAAACUCUGUUGUUAGAGAAGAACAAGGACGUUAGUAACUGAACGUCCCCUGACGGUAUCUAACCAGAAAGCCACGGCUAACUACGUGCCAGCAGCCGCGGUAAUACGUAGGUGGCAAGCGUUGUCCGGAUUUAUUGGGCGUAAAGCGAGCGCAGGCGGUUUCUUAAGUCUGAUGUGAAAGCCCCCGGCUCAACCGGGGAGGGUCAUUGGAAACUGGGAGACUUGAGUGCAGAAGAGGAGAGUGGAAUUCCAUGGGUAAACCGGU